Molecule: ribosomal RNA, 253 nt
Filed under: uncultured bacterium
Lineage: Bacteria
Description: partial 16S ribosomal RNA
Rfam family: Bacterial small subunit ribosomal RNA
Source: RNAcentral
UACGUAGGUGGCAAGCGUUAUCCGGAUUUACUGGGUUUAAAGGGUGCGUAGGUGGGUCUGUAAGUCAGUGGUGAAAUCUCCGGGCUUAACUCGGAAACUGCCAUUGAUACUAUAGAUCUUGAAUUAUCUGGAGGUGAGCGGAAUAUGUCAUGUAGCGGUGAAAUGCUUAGAUAUGACAUAGAACACCAAUUGCGAAGGCAGCUCACUACGGAUAUAUUGACACUGGGGCACGAAAGCGUGGGGAUCAAACAGG